UUGAUGUACUGUCAGUGUCAGGUACUGUGUUGUGUUUUGUGUCUAGUUGGUCUUUUGAUCAGAUGUUAGAACAUAGACAAAUUAGAAUCGCUGGCAAAUAAUUUACAAAUGUGGAAUAAAUAAUUUUUUUUUAAUCAUACAACAUUUUUAAAUGUUAUAAUUGUCGAUGCAGUAUUGCAGUUUACUUUUAUGCAGGACAAGUUUUAUUUGAGAUGAGUGUUCUAUUUACUAAAGCAUAAUCAAAGCGUUAAUCAAAUAUAGAAAAAGAUUUCAA
Nilaparvata lugens (brown planthopper) is the source of this 274-nucleotide long non-coding RNA. RefSeq lists it as uncharacterized. NCBI's taxonomy places the organism in Eukaryota, Metazoa, Arthropoda, Insecta, Hemiptera, Delphacidae. The transcript has 3 exons. The record is from RefSeq and is a predicted model, not a curated record.